RNAcentral lists this long non-coding RNA (652 nucleotides) under Homo sapiens (human). Its description in RNAcentral is "HSALNT0405458". Lineage: Eukaryota; Metazoa; Chordata; Mammalia; Primates; Hominidae. The record is from RNAcentral.
UCCUUCUGGGAUUCUCUAUUGGCUGAACUCAGCCAGAAGCUGCCAAGGGAGACCCCCACAACUGGAUGCAGCCCACUGAAGUCAGCUUCCUGGGGUGCGUAGCUGAAGGUAGCAGGGAGCAAAAAGAAUCUGAAGGGGAAGUGAACAAUGUAGAGCGUAUCUGUGCUGAAGACGUAAGGAGAGAGUGGAGGUCAGAAGCUGGCAUGGUCCCUGGUGCAUGUAUCAGCCGCUAAAGAAGUGGAGAGUAUGAACAUAAGCAAGAGGAAGUGAUGAGUAUCCCUUCCAGGAGAACUCUAAGAGGCAGUGAGUGAUUUGCUGGGCUCCCAAGCCCUCUGCUCUGAUGACAGCAAAGCCCCAAAUCAUGGUGCCUCCAUCAGUCGGGACCCCUCAGCAGAGCCAGCUUCACAGCUGGAGUGGAUGAAUCAGAACUUUCCCCAUGGGAGCAUUUAUAAAAAGGGGACACCCAGCGCAGAAGAUGUUUUCCAGGGAGAUCUCGGGGAGCCCAACAAGCCAAGAAGAGCAGAGCAAAGCAUUCCAAGGAAGGACUCUAAGUCUGCAACCGAGCACACACGAGCACAAGGAAAGACCAUGUGAAUACACAGCAAGAACGUGGUGCUCUGCAAGUCAGAAACAGACCCGUCAUCAGACACCA